This 24-nucleotide non-coding RNA is filed under the name Arabidopsis thaliana (thale cress). Lineage: Eukaryota; Viridiplantae; Streptophyta; Magnoliopsida; Brassicales; Brassicaceae. The record is from RNAcentral.
AGGUGGUACAGAGUGGACAUCUCC